RNAcentral lists this ribosomal RNA (253 nucleotides) under uncultured bacterium. RNAcentral describes it as "partial 16S ribosomal RNA". It matches the Rfam family "Bacterial small subunit ribosomal RNA", at positions 524 to 776 of the family's 1533-position model. The record is from RNAcentral.
UACGGAGGAUCCAAGCGUUAUCCGGAUUUAUUGGGUUUAAAGGGUGCGUAGGCGGAUUGAUAAGUUAGAGGUGAAAUGUCCGAGCUCAACUCGGGAACUGCCUCUAAUACUGUUGAUCUAGAGAGUAGAUGCGGUAGGCGGAAUGUAUGGUGUAGCGGUGAAAUGCAUAGAUAUCACGCAGAACUCCGAUUGCGAAGGCAGCAUACCGGCGCCCUACUGACGCUGAGGCACGAAAGCGUGGGUAUCGAACAGG